CCCUAUGGGGUGCACCAGGACGCGCUUCAGCAUCUCGAUGUUGUUCCUGAAUUCCCUCGGAUAUCUCAGAUUGACCGGGUAUCGCCCCCGUCCUUCUAUGGUUACGGUCAGAUUCGUUCCGCCUAUGGCGGACUCUAUAACUUCCUGAACAUCAUCGACCGACAGCCCGUAACGCGCCGCGGCCUUCCUUUUGAUCUCGAAAUCCAGAAAGUAUCCGGUUGUAAUCCUUUCCGCAUAUACGCUCCGCGUGCCUUUCACAUCCUUGAGCCGGGCCUCGAUCUCAUUGCCGAUUUUUUGAAUCUCGUCGAUGUCCGGCCCCAGGAUCUUUAUUCCCACCGGUGUGCGAAUGCCCGUGGACAGCAUGUCGAUCCGUGCCUUGAUGGGCAUCGUGAAGGAAUUGGCGGGGGGGC
RNAcentral lists this ribosomal RNA (410 nucleotides) under uncultured prokaryote. RNAcentral describes it as "partial 16S ribosomal RNA". The record is from RNAcentral.